Molecule: ribosomal RNA, 1438 nt
Filed under: uncultured organism
Description: 16S ribosomal RNA
Rfam family: Bacterial small subunit ribosomal RNA
Source: RNAcentral
CGCUGGCGGCGUGCUUAACACAUGCAAGUCGAACGGAAAGGCCCUGCUUUUGUGGGGUGCUCGAGUGGCGAACGGGUGAGUAACACGUGAGUAACCUGCCCUUGACUUUGGGAUAACUUCAGGAAACUGGGGCUAAUACCGGAUAGGAGCUCCUGCUGCAUGGUGGGGGUUGGAAAGUUUCGGCGGUUGGGGAUGGACUCGCGGCUUAUCAGCUUGUUGGUGGGGUAGUGGCUUACCAAGGCUUUGACGGGUAGCCGGCCUGAGAGGGUGACCGGCCACAUUGGGACUGAGAUACGGCCCAGACUCCUACGGGAGGCAGCAGUGGGGAAUAUUGCACAAUGGGCGGAAGCCUGAUGCAGCAACGCCGCGUGCGGGAUGACGGCCUUCGGGUUGUAAACCGCUUUCGCCUGUGACGAAGCGUGAGUGACGGUAAUGGGUAAAGAAGCACCGGCUAACUACGUGCCAGCAGCCGCGGUGAUACGUAGGGUGCGAGCGUUGUCCGGAUUUAUUGGGCGUAAAGGGCUCGUAGGUGGUUGAUCGCGUCGGAAGUGUAAUCUUGGGGCUUAACCCUGAGCGUGCUUUCGAUACGGGUUGACUUGAGGAAGGUAGGGGAGAAUGGAAUUCCUGGUGGAGCGGUGGAAUGCGCAGAUAUCAGGAGGAACACCAGUGGCGAAGGCGGUUCUCUGGGCCUUUCCUGACGCUGAGGAGCGAAAGCGUGGGGAGCGAACAGGCUUAGAUACCCUGGUAGUCCACGCUGUAAACGGUGGGUACUAGGUGUGGGGUCCAUUCCACGGGUUCCGUGCCGUAGCUAACGCUUUAAGUACCCCGCCUGGGGAGUACGGCCGCAAGGCUAAAACUCAAAGGAAUUGACGGGGCCCCGCACAAGCGGCGGAGCAUGCGGAUUAAUUCGAUGCAACGCGUAGAACCUUACCUGGGUUUGACAUGGAUCGGGAGUGCUCAGAGAUGGGUGUGCCUCUUUUGGGGUCGGUUCACAGGUGGUGCAUGCCUGUCGUCAGCUCGUGUCGUGAGAUGUUGGGUUAAGUCCCACAACGAGCGCAACCCUUGUUCACUGUUGCCAGCACGUUAUGGUGGGGACUCAGUGGAGACCGCCGGGGUCAACUCGGAGGAAGGUGGGGAUGACGUCAAGUCCUCAUGCCCCUUAUGUCCAGGGCUUCACGCAUGCUACAAUGGCUGGUACAGAGAGUGGCGAGCCUGUGAGGGUGAGCGAAUCUCGGAAAGCCGGUCUCAGUUCGGAUUGGGGUCUGCAACUCGACCUCAUGAAGUCGGAGUCGCUAGUAAUCGCAGAUCAGCAACGCUGCGGUGAAUACGUUCCCGGGGCUUGUACACACCGCCCGUCAAGUCAUGAAAGUUGGUAACACCCGAAGCCGGUGGCCUAACCGUUGUGGGGGAGCCGUCGAAGGUGGGACUGGUGAUUAGG